Mustela erminea (ermine) is the source of this 2319-nucleotide long non-coding RNA. RefSeq lists it as uncharacterized. The transcript has 3 exons. Lineage: Eukaryota; Metazoa; Chordata; Mammalia; Carnivora; Mustelidae. The record is from RefSeq and is a predicted model, not a curated record.
CCAGCCAUGCCACACAGGGCCAGUGGCAUCUGUCCCCUCAAGUGGAAAGUCCCCUGGCCGAGCCUCGGCAUGGAAGAUGGCACUCGGACAAAAGCACCGUUUGCCUGGAUGUCGGCCGAUGACGGCCUUGGUCUGCACGAGGACUAGGAUGUCCUUUUAAAUAAAAUUGGCUUUGAAGAUGCAAUUCCAUUUAUUAGGAGAAAGUUGCAGACCAUCAAUCACCUUUUUGCAAAAGGCUGCUCAGACCAGGUAUCCCGGACCCUUGGGUUCUGAUCCUGCUGCACCCGGAGCUGGGUUGCGGACCCAUGAGGAGGAAAGGAUGUGCGUGUUCCUCGCCAAGGAGGAGGCAGAGAGCACCUGUGGGCGUGGGGAUGGACCGGUGGAUUCGAGGCCGAUUAUUUGCACAGCAGAUGUGUGUGUCUGUGUGGGGGGGUGUAUCCCUGAGUGUGUGUAUGAGGCUGGGGAAAGAGGAAAACAGGAUUUAAAACUGGCUCAUAACCUUUUGGGGGUGGUUGGGUGAGAGGGGAGGUGGUCUGGGAACUGCUGAGAACGGAAUGAAAACGUCACGGACACCCUCCGCAAAAAAGAACAAAAAAACCCCCAAAAACAAACCAAAAAGCAAAACCCAAAAAAACCUAAUGACACAAGAAAAUUCCACAAAUGUAUCCUCAGGGGUUCAAGGGUUCCCAAAAGCCCACGGUACCCUCCCUCCGCACCCCGGGACUAAGUCAGUGCACAGCCCUCCUAUUUAAGACAUCAGGAGACACUUUCUGUACCUUUCCUAGGCACAGUGCAUACGUAAAAAAGCAGCAGGCAAGAAAAAACAAAUCUUUCCUACGGCCAGCAAAAUGCUGAGCCACUGACCCUUGGGGCUUCAGGGCUCUGGGCAAAUGAGUACAGGCAUAGAGCCUCAGUUUUCCCAUCAGGACAAUGCGCCUGCACCCUGCCCGCCUCACCCGCAAGGUUGCUCUGAGGUUAUAACCAAAGGAUGGAGGUUGAAUCCCUCCAGACAUGGUUCAGUUUUCACCGUAUGCUCAAGCGCGCAGCCGUGGGCACCUUGGGGAGUGAGGCACAGUGACCUCCCCCAGGGGACACACGAUGGUCCGCCCUCAGGAGGCGGAAGCCUUAGGAAUCGCCUCCAGACACGUUCUGGAAGCUGCUCACCUUUCCAGAGAGGAUGAGGGGGUCCAUCAGCGCUCAGGAAGCCCACAGGCUUCACGAGAGGCCCCAGGCCCACAUCACUGCUAAUGACAGAGUGAGGCCAUCUCGUGGGCACCGGGGGCCCCCUCUGGGACUUCAGAGGCCUCUCGUCCAUCACCUGGAAAAGAAAGGUUUCCGAGGGCCCUGACUGUCCAGGGUGCCCCCACAUUCCCUACCCCGUCAUGAAACCUCCAAUCAUGGCGUUCUCCUGGUCUCACGGGUUAGCACCCUGACAGGAGUGUGUGUCCCAAAACACCUGGGCCCGAGAAGCUGCCUUUCUAAAGUCCAUCCGUCUCAGAUGAUGGUCAGUGUGAGCGACAGACAGCGUUGAUGAUGGAACCCACCCACGUCACCUCUGUGCUCCGCCCCUGCCUGUCACCCCAAGUCCCAGACAAGCCAAACCCGGGGCCAUGCUGGGAGACCCCUGCCCAGCCCCCUCCACAAUGUCACGGUCAGCAAAAAAAUGCAAGUCUGAGAAACCCGCCGGCAGGAGCCUGGGGAGGCGAGACCACUGCACACACAGCAGGGUCCUGAGACAGACGAAGGUAAAAGCACUGAAUAAAGGGUGACCUUUAAUAAGAAUUUGUCGAUAUUGGUUCACGAAUUGUGACAAACGUACCAUAGUAACGUUACAAUGUUAAACACGGGAAAUUGUGCGGGGUUUGUGGGAACCCCUCUGUAUUAUCUUUGUGAUCUUUUUCUUCAAAUCUGAAACUGCAUCUAAAAUGCAAAGUUUAUUAAAAUGUAAAAUGGAGUUCAUAAACACCUGUUUUGGGAUUCCCUGGCUGCAAUGCAGCCGAGAGGCAGCGUGCAGGGGGCGGGGGUGAGCAGCCGGCCUUGGCGGCAAAGGGCUGCAGACCUUGGCCUCCCAGAGGCACAGGACACUGAAAAGGAACUUUCCCAAAGAAGGGUCUCGGAGUCCAGCCCCACUAGAUGAGGCUGGGGCUGUGUCCCGAGACUUCACAUCAAAGCGGAUCCUGACGGGGAACCCUCUGGGCCUGUUUAGUCCUCGCGUCCCCAUCUUGUCCCCUUCCAAACCUGCACGGGCUGGGGGUCCGAGGCUCUCUGCCGCCCUUCCGUUCCCAGGCUGCUUGGGUUCGAAAGAUUUACCAUCUUUAU